CUGGCGGCGUGCCUAAUACAGCAAGUCGAACGCACAGCGAAAGGUGCUUGCACCUUUCAAGUGAGUGGCGAACGGGUGAGUAACACGUGGACAACCUGCCUCAAGGCUGGGGAUAACAUUUGGAAACAGAUGCUAAUACCGAAUAAAACUUAGUGUCGCAUGACACAAAGUUAAAAGGCGCUUCGGCGUCACCUAGAGAUGGAUCCGCGGUGCAUUAGUUAGUUGGUGGGGUAAAGGCCUACCAAGACAAUGAUGCAUAGCCGAGUUGAGAGACUGAUCGGCCACAUUGGGACUGAGACACGGCCCAAACUCCUACGGGAGGCUGCAGUAGGGAAUCUUCCACAAUGGGCGAAAGCCUGAUGGAGCAACGCCGCGUGUGUGAUGAAGGCUUUCGGGUCGUAAAGCACUGUUGUAUGGGAAGAACAGCUAGAAUAGGAAAUGAUUUUAGUUUGACGGUACCAUACCAGAAAGGGACGGCUAAAUACGUGCCAGCAGCCGCGGUAAUACGUAUGUCCCGAGCGUUAUCCGGAUUUAUUGGGCGUAAAGCGAGCGCAGACGGUUUAUUAAGUCUGAUGUGAAAGCCCGGAGCUCAACUCCGGAAUGGCAUUGGAAACUGGUUAACUUGAGUGCAGUAGAGGUAAGUGGAACUCCAUGUGUAGCGGUGGAAUGCGUAGAUAUAUGGAAGAACACCAGUGGCGAAGGCGGCUUACUGGACUGCAACUGACGUUGAGGCUCGAAAGUGUGGGGAGCAAAC
This 754-nucleotide ribosomal RNA is filed under the name uncultured bacterium. Its description in RNAcentral is "bacterial SSU rRNA". It matches the Rfam family "Bacterial small subunit ribosomal RNA", at positions 36 to 773 of the family's 1533-position model. The record is from RNAcentral.